GUUGACCUCGGAUCAGGUAGGAAUACCCGCUGAAUUUAAGCAUACA
RNAcentral lists this ribosomal RNA (46 nucleotides) under Colletotrichum ocimi. RNAcentral's name for it is "partial 28S ribosomal RNA". Lineage: Eukaryota; Fungi; Ascomycota; Sordariomycetes; Glomerellales; Glomerellaceae. The record is from RNAcentral.